RNAcentral lists this ribosomal RNA (903 nucleotides) under uncultured bacterium. RNAcentral's name for it is "bacterial SSU rRNA". It matches the Rfam family "Bacterial small subunit ribosomal RNA", at positions 33 to 920 of the family's 1533-position model. The record is from RNAcentral.
ACGCUGGCGGCGUGCCUAAUACAUGCAAGUAGAACGCUGAAGGAGGAGCUUGCUUCUCCGGAUGAGUUGCGAACGGGUGAGUAACGCGUAGGUAACCUGCCUGGUAGCGGGGGAUAACUAUUGGAAACGAUAGCUAAUACCGCAUAAGAGUAGAUGUUGCAUGACAUUUGCUUAAAAGGUGCAAUUGCAUCACUACCAGAUGGACCUGCGUUGUAUUAGCUAGUUGGUGGGGUAACGGCUCACCAAGGCGACGAUACAUAGCCGACCUGAGAGGGUGAUCGGCCACACUGGGACUGAGGCACGGCCCAGACUCCUACGGGAGGCAGCAGUAGGGAAUCUUCGGCAAUGGACGGAAGUCUGACCGAGCAACGCCGCGUGAGUGAAGAAGGUUUUCGGAUCGUAAAGCUCUGUUGUAAGAGAAGAACGAGUGUGAGAGUGGAAAGUUCACACUGUGACGGUAUCUUACCAGAAAGGGACGGCUAACUACGUGCCAGCAGCCGCGGUAAUACGUAGGUCCCGAGCGUUGUCCGGAUUUAUUGGGCGUAAAGCGAGCGCAGGCGGUUAGAUAAGUCUGAAGUUAAAGGCUAUGGCUUAACCAUAGUACGCUUUGGAAACUGUUUAACUUGAGUGCAAGAGGGGAGAGUGGAAUUCCAUGUGUAGCGGUGAAAUGCGUAGAUAUAUGGAGGAACACCGGUGGCGAAAGCGGCUCUCUGGCUUGUAACUGACGCUGAGGCUCGAAAGCGUGGGGAGCAAACAGGAUUAGAUACCCUGGUAGUCCACGCCGUAAACGAUGAGUGCUAGGUGUUAGACCCUUUCCGGGGUUUAGUGCCGCAGCUAACGCAUUAAGCACUCCGCCUGGGGAGUACGACCGCAAGGUUGAAACUCAAAGGAAUUGACGGGGGC